This 497-nucleotide ribosomal RNA is filed under the name uncultured bacterium. RNAcentral's name for it is "partial 16S ribosomal RNA". It matches the Rfam family "Bacterial small subunit ribosomal RNA", at positions 28 to 507 of the family's 1533-position model. The record is from RNAcentral.
GAUGAACGCUGGCGGCGUGCCUAAUACAUGCAAGUCGAGCGAACGGACGAGAAUCUUGCUUCUCUCAUGUUAGCGGCGGACGGGUGAGUAACACGUGGAGAACCUACCUAUAAGACUGGGAUAACUUCGGGACACCGGAGCUAAGACCGGAUAAUAUUUUGAACCGCAUGGUUCAAAAGCGAAUGACUGUCUUGCUGUCACUUAUAUAUGUUACCGGGCUGCAUUAGCUGAUUGGUAAGGUAACGGCUUACCAAGGCAACGAUGCAUAGCCGACCUGAGAGAGGGAUCGGCGACACUGGAACUGAGACACGGGCCAGACUCCUACGGGAGGCAGCAGUAGGGAAUCUUCCGCAACGGGCGAAAGCCUGACGGAGCAACGCCGCGUGAGUGAUGAAGGUCUUCGGAUCGUAAAACUCUGUUCUUAGGGAAGAACAUAUGUGUAAGUAACUGUGCACAUCUUGACGGUACCUAAUCAGAAAGCCACGGCUAACUACGUG